GGCACGAGUUUCCCCAAGGACUGACUUGGGGAUAUCUAACACACCUGAUAGCAAUGCCCAUUUUUGACCUCUACUUUCCUCUUCCUAAUAUUUUUGCUCCAGGUUACCUGAAACCUUGAUGAGCUGCUUUAGCCUGGUCCCAUCCCUGCCAGAAAUCCAGGACUUGGACCAGCACACCGUGGUUUCAACACCGUGGAAAUGUCAUUGAAACUCUUCUACCAUGGGAUAACUGGGAGCAGGAUCAGCCUCACGGUCCUCAGAGACACCACUUCAUUAAUUAAAUAAACCAGUGACCUCUGAGACAGGAGUGAAAACACGAAUGGAGAGAGGAGAGUAGGUUUUCUCUCCACCGCGUCUCUGCUUCUCCAGUGCUUCCUUCUCCAGCUGCCCAGUGGGGCUGAGCUCCUCCCGGCAGCUCAGGAAACUGCUCCUGCUGGUGAUGGAGUGAGCACAAAGAGCGGACGGAGCUGCUGCUGCCCAGAAUGUGAGCCCCAAAGGACCUCGUUGGCUCGAGGAGGAGAUAUUUGCUCACACCAGCAUAACCUCUCUCCACUGUCAGUAUUUCCUUUGGUCGUGCUGGGACUUCUGAGGACAGCCCGGGCUGUUUGAGGACAUCCUGGGCUCAAGCCAUUUGCUCCUGAAUGAAGAUGCUCUUGAUGGACCGUUUUGUUCUUUGCAGCAGCAGGAAUGAGCCUGGAAGCGGAGGAAUCGGCUCCGAGAAUCCGAGAAGGAAUGGCAUUCCUUGGUCUUUCCCCCUCAGCAUGCCCUGACUGGAAGCUCUGGCUGUCAAUGGUACCCAGAGAGAGUUUUGUUGGUGAAAAAUGUUCCUUGGAGCCCUCCCAUGCAGGUGCUGAGAGAAUGAGCCAGUUGUUUGGAGAAUUGUUGUCUUCCCCAUGGACAGGUGCCAUUUUGAGUGAAACCAUCUCAGACACAGCAUACAACUUUUGCAGACGUUGCACAGCACCAUGGCAAAGAACAGACCUCGAAGUUCACAAACCGAGUGGAAAUUGUCAGAUAUUUGUGAGUUGGUGGAUAAUUGACAUCAGGAAAUGUUUGCAACUGGCUGCUUAUGAAAGCCUUUGA
Molecule: long non-coding RNA, 1083 nt
Filed under: Calidris pygmaea (Spoon-billed sandpiper)
Lineage: Eukaryota; Metazoa; Chordata; Aves; Charadriiformes; Scolopacidae
Description: lncRNA (ENSCPGG00000010442.1)
Source: RNAcentral